GAUUAACGCUGGCGGCGUGCAUAACACAUGCAAGUCGAACGAUGAAACUUUUUUGAUUUCUUCGGAAUGAUUAAAAGUGGAUUAGUGGCGGACGGGUGAGUAACGCGUGAGUAACCUGCCUUAGAGAAGGGGAUAGCCUUUGGAAACGAAGAAUAAUACCCUAUGAAACCAUAACCUCGCAUGAGGAAUUGGUCAAAGAUUUAUCGCUCUAAGAUGGACUUGCGUCUGAUUAGUUAGUUGGUGGGGUAACGGCCCACCAAGACAGCGAUCAGUAGCCGGCUUGGGAGAGUGUACGGCCACAUUGGGACUGAGACACGGCCCAGACUCCUACGGGAGGCAGCAGUGGGGAAUUUUGCACAAUGGGGGAAACCCUGAUGCAGCGACGCCGCGUGAUUUAGAAGGCCUUCGGGUUGUAAAAAUCUUUUCUAUGGGAAGAAAAUGACAGUACCAUAGGAAUAAGGACCGGCUAAUUACGUG
This 477-nucleotide ribosomal RNA is filed under the name uncultured bacterium. Its description in RNAcentral is "partial 16S ribosomal RNA". It matches the Rfam family "Bacterial small subunit ribosomal RNA", at positions 28 to 507 of the family's 1533-position model. The record is from RNAcentral.